GGUCAAGCUACCAAGGGCAUACGGGGGAUGUCUUGGUGUCAGGAGGCGAUGAAGGGCGUGAAAGUCUGCGAAAAGCUUGGGUGAGUCGACAAAUAGGCGUUGAACCCAGGAUUCCCGAAUUAGCUUACGCUGAAUACAUAGGCGUAAGUGGCCAACCCGGUGAACUGAAACA
This 172-nucleotide ribosomal RNA is filed under the name Planctomycetales bacterium. RNAcentral describes it as "partial 23S ribosomal RNA". It matches the Rfam family "Bacterial large subunit ribosomal RNA", at positions 1 to 200 of the family's 2925-position model. The record is from RNAcentral. Lineage: Bacteria; Pseudomonadati; Planctomycetota; Planctomycetia; Planctomycetales.